AGUCUGCAACCCGCCUGCAUGAAGUUGGAAUCGCUAGUAAUCGCGGAUCAGCAUGCCGCGGUGAAUACGUUCCCGGGCCUUGUACACACCGCCCGUCACACCAUGAGAGUCGGGAACACCCGAAGUCCGUAGCCUAACCGCAAGGGGGGCGCGGCCGAAGGUGGGUUCGAUAAUUGGGGUGAAGUCGUAACAAGGUAAC
This 199-nucleotide ribosomal RNA is filed under the name uncultured bacterium. RNAcentral's name for it is "partial 16S ribosomal RNA". It matches the Rfam family "Bacterial small subunit ribosomal RNA", at positions 1302 to 1500 of the family's 1533-position model. The record is from RNAcentral.